This 26-nucleotide non-coding RNA is filed under the name Rattus norvegicus (Norway rat). Lineage: Eukaryota; Metazoa; Chordata; Mammalia; Rodentia; Muridae. The record is from RNAcentral.
UUUCUGAUUGGUUCCCCCCAGAAGCA